GUUUAAGUAGUUUAAGUAAAACGUUGGUCUGUGGAGCCUGAGAUAUAAUUUAAUGUUAUUUUAAACA
Molecule: transfer RNA, 67 nt
Filed under: Plesionika edwardsii
Lineage: Eukaryota; Metazoa; Arthropoda; Malacostraca; Decapoda; Pandalidae
Description: tRNA-His
Rfam family: tRNA
About the family: Transfer RNA (tRNA) molecules are approximately 80 nucleotides in length. Their secondary structure includes four short double-helical elements and three loops (D, anti-codon, and T loops).
Source: RNAcentral